Molecule: ribosomal RNA, 60 nt
Filed under: Amanita volvata
Lineage: Eukaryota; Fungi; Basidiomycota; Agaricomycetes; Agaricales; Amanitaceae
Description: partial 28S ribosomal RNA
Rfam family: Eukaryotic large subunit ribosomal RNA
Source: RNAcentral
CUUGACCUCAAAUCAGGUAGGAUUACCCGCUGAACUUAAGCAUAUCAAUAAGCGGAGGAA